This 500-nucleotide ribosomal RNA is filed under the name uncultured bacterium. RNAcentral describes it as "partial 16S ribosomal RNA". It matches the Rfam family "Bacterial small subunit ribosomal RNA", at positions 30 to 523 of the family's 1533-position model. The record is from RNAcentral.
AUUGAACGCUGGCGGAAUGCUUUACACAUGCAAGUCGAACGGCAGCACGGACUUCGGUCUGGUGGCGAGUGGCGAACGGGUGAGUAAUGUAUCGGAACGUGCGCAGUCGUGGGGGAUAACGUAGUGAAAAUUACGCUAAUAACGCAUACGAUCUAGGGAUGAAAGCGGGGGAUCGCAAGAGCUCGCGCGAUUGGAGCGGCAGAUAUCAGAUUAGGUAGUUGGUGGGGUAAAGGCCCCCCAAGCCAACGAUCUGUAGCUGGUGUGAGAGGACGACCAGCCACACUGGAACUGAGCCACGGUCCAGACUCCUACGGGAGGCAGCAGUGGGGAAUUUUGGACAAUGGGCGAAAGCCUGAUCCAGCCAUGCCGCGUGCAGGAUGAAGGCCCUCGGGUUGUAAACUGCUUUUGUACAGAACGAAAAGGUUUCUACUAAUACUAGGAGCUCAUGACGGUACUGUAAGAAUAAGCACCGGCUAACUACGUGCCAGCCGCCGCCGUAA